UCAGGACGAACGCUAGCGGCAGGCUUACACAUGCAAGUCGAACGGUAAGGCCCCUUCGGGGGUACACGAGUGGCGCACGGGUGCGUAACACGUAUGCAACCUACCCUUCAGCGGGGGAUAGUCGCGGGAAACUGCGAAUAAUACCCCAUACGAUCAUUGAUUGGCAUCGAUUGAUGAUGAAAGUUCCGGCGCUGAAGGAUGGGCAUGCGUCCCAUUAGCUAGUUGGUGAGGUAACGGCUCACCAAGGCGACGAUGGGUAGCUGGUCUGAGAGGAUGAUCAGCCACACGGGCACUGAGACACGGGCCCGACUCCUACGGGAGGCAGCAGUGAGGAAUCUUGGUCAAUGGGCGGAAGCCUGAACCAGCCAUGCCGCGUGGAGGAAGACGGCCCUCUGGGUUGUAAACUCCUUUAGCUAGGGGCUAAANUUGUGCUAUAGGCAUGAUUGCAGGUACCUAGAGAAUAAGCGCCGGCUAACUACGUGCCAGCAGCCGCGGUAAUACGUAGGGCGCAAGCGUUGUCCGGAUUUAUUGGGUUUAAAGGGUGCGUAGGCGGGUAUGUAAGUUCGUGGUGAAAUCGUCCGGCUUAACCGGAUACCCGCCAUGGAUACUGUGUAUCUUGAGUGUGGAUGAGGAAGUUAGAAUGCGUGGUGUAGCGGUGAAAUGCAUAGAUAUCACGCAGAAUACCGAUUGCGAAGGCAGACUUCUGGUCCAUAACUGACGCUGAGGCACGAAAGCGUGGGUAGCGAACAGGAUUAGAUACCCUGGUAGUCCACGCUGUAAACGAUGAUCACUAGGUGUUCGGCCUUUAUGGUUGAGUGCCCAAGCGAAAGCGAUAAGUGAUCCACCUGGGGAGUACGUCGGCAACGAUGAAACUCAAAGGAAUUGACGGGGGCCCGCACAAGCGGUGGAGCAUGUGG
RNAcentral lists this ribosomal RNA (917 nucleotides) under uncultured organism. Its description in RNAcentral is "bacterial SSU rRNA". It matches the Rfam family "Bacterial small subunit ribosomal RNA", at positions 24 to 944 of the family's 1533-position model. The record is from RNAcentral.